UACGAAGGGGGGCUAGCGUUGCUCGGAAUUACUGGGCGUAAAGCGUGCGCAGGCGGUUUUGUAAGUCUGUUGUGAAAUCCCCGGGCUCAACCUGGGAGUGGCAAUGGAGACUGCAAGGCUAGAGUUUGGCAGAGGGGGGGUAGAAUUCCACGUGUAGCAGUGAAAUGCGUAGAUAUGUGGAGGAACACCGAUGGCGAAGGCAGCCCCCCUGGGUCAAAAACUGACGCUCAUGCACGAAAGCUGGGGAGCAACAGG
RNAcentral lists this ribosomal RNA (255 nucleotides) under uncultured bacterium. RNAcentral describes it as "partial 16S ribosomal RNA". It matches the Rfam family "Bacterial small subunit ribosomal RNA", at positions 524 to 776 of the family's 1533-position model. The record is from RNAcentral.